AAGUCGUAACAAGGUCUCCGUAGGUGAACCUGCGGAGGGAUCAUUAACACUAUUUGGCUGUAGGUUUAACCGCCUACAGUUCAAAUUCUAACCACACUGUUGAACUCGGUUACCUUGCGUAACCAAUCCUCCCUUUGAAUUGGAAGCGUUAAUGUUAGUUUGUAGUGGGAUGAGCAAUCAUCGACUAACAUUAGCUAUCAAAGCUUGACUUUGAAGUUUCCUUUUCUUAGGCAAUUCCACUUAAAAUUUCCUCCACUAUAGAAAUGAACCCAUUUCACACCUUCGUACUCCAAUUGACUGAUCAAAGAAUGCUAAAGAGACCCGCAAGGGAAUCGAUAGCAGGACUAAGAUAAUUCUUAAACUAAGCACAACUCUUAGCAACGGAUAUCUUGGUUCUG
RNAcentral lists this unclassified non-coding RNA (398 nucleotides) under fungal sp. Its description in RNAcentral is "partial internal transcribed spacer region". The stretch from base 1 to 46 matches the Rfam family "Eukaryotic small subunit ribosomal RNA", at positions 1786 to 1831 of the family's 1831-position model. Lineage: Eukaryota; Fungi. The record is from RNAcentral.